UAUUGUCUUUGUAGUGCAGGAUGAACAGCAAGACCCUGACAAGCAAUAGGGUGUCUUCAGCCAAUGAAGAUGGUAAGAUGGAUAGACAGAAGUGUGCUUUUCUAGUUGUUUUUUCUUUUUUUUUGUCUUUCCCAUCAUGUUAAAAAAAUUUUCAUCUCUCUCCAAAAAUCCCAAUCCAUCCCCAAAUAAAACAAGGGCCUGCAGAGAGUCAGCUUCCUGGCUAGAGUGCAAGGUACAUGCUGUAGCCAUUGGACAAAAUGAAGCCAACUGGGUAACAGAAUAGAAACCAUGACCCUGGCUCUUUAUCAAUGAAAUAACCAGGCACAGACAUCACAGGUUUUCUCUUUGCCAGUUCAAAAUGCCAAAAAGGGAUGCAGGGGAAGAAUUAAUUAAGAUUCUCUCUGAUGUAGCUUCUAUACUCCCUGCCCGUACUGUGUGUUUGCUUUUUGAGUAUGGGAUUUGAUUCUGAAAUACACCAUACUUGGCAAUUUUCUUUAAAGCUUAAACUCUUAGAACUAAGUCUCAGGAUUUUCGAUGGCCAUGGGCAAAUGUUUUUGUUUUUGUUUUUUUUUUGUGGAUACUGUUUGAUGAAUGUGCCCAAUUGACGCUUAUGCGCACAAUUUCCAGAAGGAACAUCCUGAACUUUUCUAACUAAACACAAGGCUAAUGAAUUAUGUGUGGGAAGCUCUCUCUACCUCUCUCUCUCUUUUUUUAAGUAUGUAGCAGUCAUGGAAGUUGAGCCAUCUUUCCAUGAAUGCAUGAUUGCAAAUGUCUUUCUUAGUAUUUAACUAUAGGAUAAGAAAAUGGCCUAAAACCUAGGCCCUAGAGAUGAGCCUAGUAGGCUAGGUUCCCCAACUGUGAGAGAGUAUUCAGGAUGUUCUUGCUACCCAACAGUAUAUUCCGUGGAGAUAAAUCUAGGAAACUCCGAUAUGACUUCCAGGCUGCCAUACUCAAGACCUCCAGCCCCUUUGCCACUUGGACCAGUGAAGAGCCUCACAGCCUGCUCUAACCACAGCUCCCUUCUGAGAGGAAAAGCUGCUCACAGAAAACAUCUCUUUGAAGCUGGCACUACUGAUGAAAACUAAAGCAAUGGAUGGAGAAAAGAGGAGGAAUAAAGACAAUUUGGGCUGAUGUUCUUCAGAAAAGGAAAGGGUGGUCACCUUGUCAAUGGAUUUGUUGAGCACCCAUUAUGUGUGGGAAUGGAUGAUUAAAAGCUACAGAAAUCUCUGUCUUGAGGUCAUGUAUAGUCUAUUGAGGGAACAAGGCAUAUAUACCAAAAUGACUUAAAUAGCAAAGUAAGAGUAACAUAAUAACUAUCAGCAGCCACUGAGCAUUAUAUAGACAUUGCUUAUUUAAUACUUACCAAAUCAGCCCAUGAAGUAGAUGGGUUUGUUAAAAUGUAUUUGCUGACUGGCAACAGAAAAGCCUACACACACACACACACACACACACACACAUACACAUAUACUGGCUUAAACAAGUAAGGAGGUUAUUUAUAUCAUGCUACAAAAAACCUAGAGUUUGUUACCCUGGUUAAGGCCACCAGGGACACAGCCUCCUCUAUAUUUCUGCUCUACAGUCCUUAGCUCCACAGUCAUAGUUGCUGCCCUUUCAAGCAUCACAUCUGUGUGUAAAGCAGGCUGAAGGAUGGAGUAAUGGGCGUGGGGCACUUAUAGAAGAAAAGCAAUGCUUUCCCAGAAAUUCAAGCAUGCUUCCUCUUAUAUACUAUUACGCAGAACAAUGUCAGUAGGCUGCCACCAGCUUUAAGGAAGCCAGUUGCUUGAGCAUUUUAGCUGAGCACAUUGUUACCCUGAACAAAACUGGGGCUCUAGAAGAAGGAAAAAUGAGGGGAGAACUUACAUUGGGUAUAUACACAGCAGUGUCUGCCACGGUGGGUUGACUAUGCCAUCUUACAGAUAAGAAACUGAGGCUCAAAGAAGUUAAAUGGUUUGCUCAAUUUAUCGUACAACUGGCAAAUAGCAGAGCCAGGGUUAAAACCCAGAUGUGAGUGAAUCCAAAGUUUUUACUCUUAAUUCCCAUUCAUUACUGUCAUGUGGCACUUCAAAUGAAUGAUAUAAAUAACUUGAUGGUAAAUGCAGGGUGAGAGUAGAUCAAUACGAUUUUGGUAGGUAGAAAAUAGGGAGUAGAAUCAUUCAGAGAGAAAGAUUUUCCCUACUGUUGGAGGCCUUUGGGGGACAGGAAAAUGUCCAAAUUGAUUAUCAGAGAGUUAUUGUUAGGAGAGAAUGGGAGGAAAGCUCAGAAAGAAGUGCUGAGACACCAGGCUUCCGUGAUAGCUCCCAAGUAACAAGUCCAAAAUGGAAUUUCUGAUUUCUCUGUUCCCGAAUCCAUUUUAUUCUCCAUCUUUUCCCAUCUCAGUAAAAUGCACAUUUAUAUGCCCAGCUGGUUAAGCAGAAAAUCUGAGGGUUGACAUUUAUCCCUCCGUUGUCCUCACUCUCACAUCUGCAAGUCCUGAAGUAUUUAC
This is a long non-coding RNA of Macaca mulatta (Rhesus monkey), 2482 nucleotides long. The record is from Ensembl. NCBI's taxonomy places the organism in Eukaryota, Metazoa, Chordata, Mammalia, Primates, Cercopithecidae.